UGUGCUGAUGAGUGUGAUUUGUCGGAAUAGCCCCGUGCUAUGAGGGUGAUGGCUGACGGUGCCGAGCACGGAGCUGAGCGCGUAGCUGAGCGGGUUGGUUACCUGAUGGAGUGUGAGCGUACGCUGGGUCCGCCUGUGGUGCGGUACUGUGAAACACGAGUACCCCACUGGAAAAAGAAGAAAAAAAAGAAAACUACAUGGGACUUCCAUAGAAGACGGCACGGACCGGUUAAGAGAAAAUCUUCAAAAGACCUGAAUCAGCAGG
Paramormyrops kingsleyae is the source of this 265-nucleotide non-coding RNA. NCBI's taxonomy places the organism in Eukaryota, Metazoa, Chordata, Actinopteri, Osteoglossiformes, Mormyridae. The record is from RefSeq and is a predicted model, not a curated record.